GGGUGUGGCUCAGAGGUAGAGUGCUCACCUACCACACAAGAGGCACUGGGUUCGAUCCUCAGCACCACA
This 69-nucleotide transfer RNA is filed under the name Marmota monax (woodchuck). Its description in RNAcentral is "tRNA.Gly". The record is from RNAcentral. Lineage: Eukaryota; Metazoa; Chordata; Mammalia; Rodentia; Sciuridae.